Gopherus evgoodei (Goodes thornscrub tortoise) is the source of this 105-nucleotide long non-coding RNA. RefSeq lists it as uncharacterized. The record is from RefSeq and is a predicted model, not a curated record. The transcript is spliced from 3 exons. Lineage: Eukaryota; Metazoa; Chordata; Testudines; Testudinidae.
GGAAGACACAAAAGUGGUCAUGUGACCCUCCCCAGUAUUACAUUUUGGGGGCCCAGGGCAGCCAGCAGAGAAGUAAAUCACUGCAGGUCAGAAGGCAAGACUGGG